GGCUCGAAUGAUGAAUGCCUC
This 21-nucleotide non-coding RNA is filed under the name Arabidopsis thaliana (thale cress). The record is from RNAcentral. Lineage: Eukaryota; Viridiplantae; Streptophyta; Magnoliopsida; Brassicales; Brassicaceae.